GGAUUUUAAAAUACCAAGAACAAUCGGUCUAGAUCUUUAAUAGAAUGUGCAAAUUUUAAUUGUAGUAGAUAAUUCAGGUGUAAGAAUUUUCAAUUUAAUAUAGAAAAUGACAGGUUUUAUCAUAUUUAUGGUUGUAUUUUACAAAAAACAGAAAACUUUUGUUUGAAUAAUUUUUUUCCAACUUUACCACAUAAGGGGAGGCAACUCAAAUCCAAGGGCAGAUAAUUCAGAUAAAGGUACUUUUACAAUAGAAUGUGUUAGGAAUUUACCUAUUUUAUUAUGUAGACAGAAAACAGGUCCAGUGAUCCC
RNAcentral lists this long non-coding RNA (309 nucleotides) under Mytilus galloprovincialis (Mediterranean mussel). The record is from RNAcentral. Lineage: Eukaryota; Metazoa; Mollusca; Bivalvia; Mytilida; Mytilidae.